Molecule: unclassified non-coding RNA, 898 nt
Filed under: Hevea brasiliensis (rubber tree)
Lineage: Eukaryota; Viridiplantae; Streptophyta; Magnoliopsida; Malpighiales; Euphorbiaceae
Source: RNAcentral
UUAGAUGCGAUGGGUCUUCUAAAUGCAAACAAGGGUCGACCCAUGCAAGGAGUUGUUGAACAGGUUCGCGAUGGCAGCACUGUUCGUGUCUACCUACUUCCGGAUUUUCAGUUUGUUCAAGUUUUUGUCGCAGGAGUACAGUCUCCAUCCAUGGGAAGAAGGGGUGCUCUAGAAACAAUUCCAGAACCUGAAGUUACUACCACUGAUGAUACAAAUGGAGAAGCUUCUAGUGAAAUCCGGCAACCACUAACUUCAGCACAGAAACUUGCUGCGUCCACAACAUCACCUAAUGAAGUCGCUCCAGAUCCAUUUGGUCGCGAAGCUAAACACUUCACUGAGAUUCGUGUUUUGAGUAGAGAAGUCCGCAUUGUCCUCGAGGGCGUGGACAAGUUCAGCAACCUGAUCGGUUCAGUAUAUUAUCCUGAUGGCGAUACUGCAAAGGACUUGGGUCUGGAGCUUGUUGAAAAUGGUUUGGCCAAGUUUGUGGAAUGGAGUGCGAGCAUGAUGGAGGAUGAUGCCAAACGUAAGCUAAAGUCUGCUGAGCUUCAAGCAAAGAAGGAUCGCUUGAAAAUUUGGACGAACUAUAUACCUCCCCAAACAAAUUCUAAGGCCAUACAUGACUCAAAUUUUACGGGAAAGGUUGUUGAGGUUGUUAGUGGGGAUUGCAUCAUUGUCGCUGAUGAUGCUGUGCCUUACGGGAGUCCGCAAGCCGAGCGACGAGUCAACCUUUCGAGUAUCAGAUCUCCUAAAAUGGGAAAUCCUCGCCGUGACGAGAAACCGGCUCCCCAUGCCCGUGAGGCAAAGGAGUUCCUACGGACACGUCUUAUUGGGCGCCAAGUGAAUGUGUCCAUGGAAUAUUCUCGGAAAAUUGAUGGACCCGAUUCCAUAGCUGUUUCCG